CCGGCGACCGGCGCACGGGUGAGUAACACGUAUGCGACCUGCCCCCCGCAGGGGGAUAACCGGGAGAAAUCCCGACUAAUACCGCGUAACGCCGCGGACCUGCAUGGGUCUGCGGCCAAAGGAAGCGAUCCCGGCGGGGGAUGGGCAUGCGGCGCAUUAGCUAGUCGGCGGGGUAACGGCCCACCGAGGCGACGAUGCGUAGGGGUUCUGAGAGGAAGGUCCCCCACACUGGUACUGAGACACGGACCAGACUCCUACGGGAGGCAGCAG
This 270-nucleotide ribosomal RNA is filed under the name uncultured bacterium. RNAcentral describes it as "partial 16S ribosomal RNA". It matches the Rfam family "Bacterial small subunit ribosomal RNA", at positions 88 to 354 of the family's 1533-position model. The record is from RNAcentral.